Molecule: non-coding RNA, 207 nt
Organism: Oryza barthii
Lineage: Eukaryota; Viridiplantae; Streptophyta; Magnoliopsida; Poales; Poaceae
Source: Rfam
AAUAAGUGCAGUUUUGCAUUAUUCACGUUUAACAUUUGACCGUUCGUCUUAUUUGAAAAAUUUUAUGAUUAAUAAUUUUAUUGCUAUUAGAUGAUAAAAUAUGAAUAGUACUUUACGUGUGACUAAAUAUUUUCAAUUUUUUCAUAAAUUUUUCAAAUAAAACGGACGGUCAAACAUUGGAUACGGAUAUCCAUGGCUGCACUUAUU